This 459-nucleotide ribosomal RNA is filed under the name uncultured bacterium. RNAcentral describes it as "partial 16S ribosomal RNA". It matches the Rfam family "Bacterial small subunit ribosomal RNA", at positions 338 to 795 of the family's 1533-position model. The record is from RNAcentral.
CCUACGGGAGGCAGCAGUGAGGAAUAUUGGUCAAUGGUCGGGAGACUGAACCAGCCAAGCCGCGUGAGGGAGGAAGGUACAGAGUAUCGUAAACCUCUUUUGUCAGGGAACAAAAGCGGGGACGCGUCCCCUUAUGAGUGUACCUGAAGAAAAAGCAUCGGCUAACUCCGUGCCAGCAGCCGCGGUAAUACGGAGGAUGCGAGCGUUAUCCGGAUUUAUUGGGUUUAAAGGGUGCGCAGGCGGACGGUUAAGUCAGCGGUAAAAGUGCGGGGCUCAACCUCUGCGAGCCGUUGAAACUGGCAGUCUUGAGUUGGAGAGAAGUAUGCGGAAUGCGCGGUGUAGCGGUGAAAUGCAUAGAUAUCGCGCAGAACUCCGAUUGCGAAGGCAGCAUACCGGCUCUAAACUGACGCUGAGGCACGAAAGCGUGGGUAUCGAACAGGAUUAGAUACCCGAGUAGUC